RNAcentral lists this ribosomal RNA (500 nucleotides) under uncultured bacterium. RNAcentral describes it as "partial 16S ribosomal RNA". It matches the Rfam family "Bacterial small subunit ribosomal RNA", at positions 30 to 523 of the family's 1533-position model. The record is from RNAcentral.
AUUGAACGCUGGCGGAAUGCUUUACACAUGCAAGUCGAACGGCAGCACGGACUUCGGUCUGGUGGCGAGUGGCGAACGGGUGAGUAAUACAUCGGAAUGUGCCCAGUCGUGGGGGAUAACGUAGCGAAAGCUACGCUAAUACCGCAUACGAUCUACGGACGAAAGCGGGGGAUCGCAAGACCUCGCGCGAUUGGAGCGGCCGAUGGCAGAGUAGGUAGUUGGUGGGGUAAAGGCCUACCAAGCCGACGAUCUGUAGCUGGUCUGAGAGGACGACCAGCCAGACUGGGACUGAGACACGGCCCAGACUCCUACGGGAGGCAGCAGUGGGGAAUUUUGGACAAUGGGCGCAAGCCUGAUCCAGCCAUUCCGCGUGCAGGAUGAAGGCCCUCGGGUUGUAAACUGCUUUUGUACGGAACGAAAAGGCUCUGGUUAAUACCUGGGGCUCAUGACGGUACCGUAAGAAUAAGCACCGACUAACUACGUGCCAGCCGCCGCAGUAA